UCCGGCUUAUCACCGGCAGUUUCCUUAGAGUGCCCAGCAUAACCUGUUGGUAACUAAGGAUGAGGGUUGCGCUCGUUGCGGGACUUAACCCAACAUCUCACGACACGAGCUGACGACAGCCAUGCAACACCUGUGAUGGUCCGGCCGAACCGACCCAUGAGUCUCCUCACGGUAUGACCACCAUGUCAAGGCCUGGUAAGGUUUUUCGCGUAGCAUCGAAUUAAACCACAUGUUCCACCGCUUGUGCGAGUCCCCGUCAAUUCCUUUGAGUUUUAAUCUUGCGACCGUACUCCCCAGGCGGAGUGCUUAACGCGUUAGCUUUGACACUGAGACUAAUGUCCCAAUAUCUAGCACUCAUCGUUUACUGCGUGGACUAC
This 377-nucleotide unclassified non-coding RNA is filed under the name uncultured Candidatus Midichloriaceae bacterium. RNAcentral describes it as "contains 16S-23S intergenic spacer region". Lineage: Bacteria; Pseudomonadati; Pseudomonadota; Alphaproteobacteria; Rickettsiales; Candidatus Midichloriaceae. The record is from RNAcentral.